RNAcentral lists this long non-coding RNA (620 nucleotides) under Neogale vison (American mink). RNAcentral's name for it is "Neovison vison (American mink) lncRNA (ENSNVIG00000000679.1)". Lineage: Eukaryota; Metazoa; Chordata; Mammalia; Carnivora; Mustelidae. The record is from RNAcentral.
GGGUGGGGCAGGGAGGGGCCGAGAACUCCGGGCGGGGCCCCGCCUCCUCUCGCGAGACUGUAGACAGCCGCUCCCGGGUCGCCUCUUUCGAAACCUUGCUGGAGGGGUGGGGGUGUUCCCUUGGGUACCUCGAACCCGUGAUCGACCCCCCCUCCUCUGAGUCUAGCUACCCAAAUAAAUCUGAAAUAGGGCUGCCAGGAGGAGUGAAUAGGCCCGAACCUCUGUCCCUCUGCCGCGCGGGCCUGGGACCCGCUCUCCUGAGGGCGGAAAGGGUGCAAAGCCGAGCUGACUCCGGGCCCACCCCCGAGGGUCGAGGCCCUGGGAGGACUUCGAACACGGGAUCGUUAGCUUGGUUCCAAAAGGAAUGUAGGACGAGCAUGCCGCAUCUGACAGAUUCCCAGUGUGCGAGAGCCAGCCACAAGACUCAAGCAUAAAAGAGAUAGGACUAUUUUCCAAGCAACCUACGUUUAAAAGAAAUGCGUACUGAUUUAUGCCUUAUGUUACGUUCUGUAUUCAUAGAUUAUACACAAACUCAUAGGGAGCAAAAUAUGAUUUUAUUUAAUUUAUACAUCAUAUUGGACAACAAUGCUCAAUAAAAAUAAAAUGUCCUCUUCUAAACA